Molecule: ribosomal RNA, 468 nt
Filed under: uncultured bacterium
Lineage: Bacteria
Description: partial 16S ribosomal RNA
Rfam family: Bacterial small subunit ribosomal RNA
Source: RNAcentral
GACGAACGCUGGCGGCGUGCUUAACACAUGCAAGUCGAACGGAAAGGCCCUGCUUUUGUGGGGUGCUCGAGUGGCGAACGGGUGAGUAACACGUGAGUAACCUGCCCUUGACUUUGGGAUAACUUCAGGAAACUGGGGCUAAUACCGGAUAGGAGCUCCUGCUGCAUGGUGGGGGUUGGAAGGUUUCGGCGGUUGGGGAUGGACUCGCGGCUUAUCAGCUUGUUGGUGGGGUAGUGGCUUACCAAGGCUUUGACGGGUAGCCGGCCUGAGAGGGUGACCGGCCACAUUGGGACUGAGAUACGGCCCAGACUCCUACGGGAGGCAGCAGUGGGGAAUAUUGCACAAUGGGCGGAAGCCUGAUGCAGCAACGCCGCGUGCGGGAUGACGGGCUUCGGGUUGUAAACCGCUUUCGCCUGUGACGAAGCGUGAGUGACGGUAAUGGGUAAAGAAGCACCGGCUAACUACGUG